GACGAACGCUGGCGGCGUGCUUAACACAUGCAAGUCGAACGGAAAGGCCCUGCUUUUGUGGGGUGCUCGAGUGGCGAACGGGUGAGUAACACGUGAGUAACCUGCCCUUGACUUUGGGAUAACUUCAGGAAACUGGGGCUAAUACCGGAUAGGAGCUCCUGCUGCAUGGUGGGUGUUGGAAAGUUUCGGCGGUUGGGGAUGGACUCGCGGCUUAUCAGCUUGUUGGUGGGGUAGUGGCUUACCAAGGCUUUGACGGGUAGCCGGCCUGGGAGGGUGACCGGCCACAUUGGGACUGAGAUACGGCCCAGACUCCUACGGGAGGCAGCAGUGGGGAAUAGUGCACAAUGGGCGGAAGCCUGAUGCAGCAACGCCGCGUGCGGGAUGACGGCCUUCGGGUUGUAAACCGCUUUCGCCUGUGACGAAGCGUGAGUGACGGUAAUGGGUAAAGAAGCACCGGCUAACUACGUG
RNAcentral lists this ribosomal RNA (468 nucleotides) under uncultured bacterium. RNAcentral's name for it is "partial 16S ribosomal RNA". It matches the Rfam family "Bacterial small subunit ribosomal RNA", at positions 28 to 507 of the family's 1533-position model. The record is from RNAcentral.